RNAcentral lists this ribosomal RNA (233 nucleotides) under Campostoma anomalum (central stoneroller). Its description in RNAcentral is "partial 18S ribosomal RNA". The stretch from base 64 to 233 matches the Rfam family "Eukaryotic small subunit ribosomal RNA", at positions 736 to 901 of the family's 1831-position model. The record is from RNAcentral. Lineage: Eukaryota; Metazoa; Chordata; Actinopteri; Cypriniformes; Leuciscidae.
ACCGCCUGUCCCGGACCCCUCUGCACGGCGCCCCCCGGAUGCCCUUAACUGGGUGUCCGGUCCUCGGGGCCCGAAGCGUUUACUUUGAAAAAAUUAGAGUGUUCAAAGCAGGCCGCCCGUCGCCGCUGAAUACCGCAGCUAGGAAUAAUGGAAUAGGACUCCGGUUCUAUUUUGUGGGUUUCUGGAACCCGGGGCCAUGAUUGAGAGGGACGCGCGGGGGCAUUCGUAUUNGC